GGUUGGUCUUCAUGCAGUGGUGUUUACGACUAAUUGAUCACGACCAGUUAUAGAUUCCUUUGUUCCUUCUCCGCUCCCACUGCUUCACUUGACCAGCCUUAA
RNAcentral lists this Y RNA (102 nucleotides) under Microcebus murinus (gray mouse lemur). Its description in RNAcentral is "Y RNA (ENSMICG00000044185.1)". It matches the Rfam family "Y RNA". Rfam says of the family: Y RNAs are components of the Ro ribonucleoprotein particle (Ro RNP), in association with Ro60 and La proteins. The Y RNAs and Ro60 and La proteins are well conserved, but the function of the Ro RNP is not known. The record is from Rfam by way of RNAcentral. Lineage: Eukaryota; Metazoa; Chordata; Mammalia; Primates; Cheirogaleidae.